Molecule: ribosomal RNA, 515 nt
Filed under: uncultured bacterium
Lineage: Bacteria
Description: partial 16S ribosomal RNA
Rfam family: Bacterial small subunit ribosomal RNA
Source: RNAcentral
GAUGAACGCUGGCGGCGUGCCUAAUACAUGCAAGUCGAGCGAAUGGAUUAAGAGCUUGCUCUUAUGAAGUUAGCGGCGGACGGGUGAGUAACACGUGGGUAACCUGCCCAUAAGACUGGGAUAACUCCGGGAAACCGGGGCUAAUACCGGAUAACAUUUUGAACCGCAUGGUUCGAAAUUGGAAGGCGGCUUCGGCUGUCACUUAUGGAUGGAACCGCGUCGCAUUAGCUAGUUGGUGAGGUAACGGCUCACCAAGGCAACGAUGCGUAGCCGACCUGAGUGGGUGAUCGGCCACACUGGGACUGAGACACGGCCCAGACUCCUACGGGAGGCAGCAGUAGGGAAUCUUCCGCAAUGGACGAAAGUCUGACGGAGCAACGCCGCGUGAGUGAUGAAGGCUUUCGGGUCGUAAAACUCUGUUGUUAGGGAAGAACAAGUGCUAGUUGAAUAAGCUGGCACCUUGACGGUACCUAACCAGAAAGCCACGGCUAACUACGUGCCAGCCGCCGCGGUAA